This 301-nucleotide ribosomal RNA is filed under the name uncultured bacterium. Its description in RNAcentral is "partial 16S ribosomal RNA". It matches the Rfam family "Bacterial small subunit ribosomal RNA", at positions 509 to 807 of the family's 1533-position model. The record is from RNAcentral.
CAGCAGCCGCGGGAAUACAGAGGGUGCAAGCGUUAAUCGGAAUUACUGGGCGUAAAGCGCGCGUAGGUGGUUUGUUAAGUUGGAUGUGAAAGCCCCGGGCUCAACCUGGGAACUGCAUCCAAAACUGGCAAGCUAGAGUACGGUAGAGGGUGGUGGAAUUUCCUGUGUAGCGGUGAAAUGCGUAGAUAUAGGAAGGAACACCAGUGGCGAAGGCGACCACCUGGACUGAUACUGACACUGAGGUGCGAAAGCGUGGGGAGCAAACAGGAUUAGAGACCCCAGUAGUCCCUGUCUCUUAUAC